UGACCCCGGUAGUGUGUGAUGGGACGGUGUGGAGGGAGAUUCCCUCUGUGUCUGACCCCGGGAGUGUGUGAUUGGACGGAGUGGAGGGAGAUUCCCUCUGUGUCUGACCCCGGGACUGUGUGAUGGGACGGUGUGGAGGGAGAUUCAGUCUGUGUCUGACCCCGGGAGUGUGUGAUGGGACCGUGUAGAGGAAUAAUCAGUCUGUGUCUGACCCGUGAGAGUGUGUUGGUACGGUGUGGAGGGAGAUUCACACUGUGUCUGACCACGGGAGUGUGUGAUGGGACGGUGUGGAGGGAGAAUCACUCUGUGUUUCACGCCGGUAUUCCCUCCUCCAUCCGUCUGGUAUUCGGGACCUCAGCGACUCACGUCUGAUAUUCUGGAGGAUAAUAACUGUCUGCGUGGUACAGGAGGGUUUAGUUAGCCAUGAACGGGGUUAAUUUUGGACGAGAUCCUGGGCACCCGGCUCUGCCAGUCUGACCUCCCUCAGCCUGGAGCUGAGACACUACUGUGUCAGUGUGAGGAGCUCCGACCCACUGUUGCAGUGCACAGGGUGCGGGGGGCAGCAGAAACCUCAAACAAACUCAAGUCAGACACCAAGGCAGGAAGUUACAGCGGUUUAUUGAUUUCAUGAUAAAUGGAAAUUAAACAGUAUGUGUGCAGCUGACUUGCGAGAGUAAAUAAGCUGCUGUAGCGAUGUACUACAUACAGAGUUAGAGACAACGACACUCAGUCGGUAAAUCUGUUCCAGACUAGUUUAUUCAAACUUCCUGGUGCUGGCAUUUACUCUCUGGGUAUUUGUGAGCCGGCGCGCCUGCGCAGAAAGUGGGUCGCCACACUGUUCCCGACUCACUCACAGUCACACACAAUUAACUGACCGGCGACAACGGGUGACCGGUAGAUUAAUCAGUCCCGUUCCUCACCGUCACUCUGCAUCCAAUCACACUCCAGGGCCGUGUCCGGGAUCGCUGCGGAUCCAAGGUCAUUGCCGAGGUAUUUGUCAAUUUAACACCAUUAUAUCGGCCAGACAGCCGAAUGCACCGUCCUCACUCACAGUCACUCACAAUUAACUGACCGGUAGAUUAAUCAGUCCCGUUCCUCCCCGUCACUCUGCAUCCAAUCACACUCCGGGGCCGUGUCCGGGAUCGCUGCGGAUCCAAGGUCAUUGCCGAGGUAUUUGUCAAUUUAACACCAUUAUAUCGGCCAGACAGCCGAAUGCCCCGUCCUCAGCAGAGGGGGCAAAAGGAUUCUCUCCCGGGACACCGGUGUCCCAGACUGAGCCCCGGCCCCCCGGGCUCCUCCCGUCCGGGUAAUUCCCCAGGGUGUCACGCGGGAGAGUCUCGGACCCGCACAUCCGGCGGAAGUGGCGCCGCCGGACAGCGGGCGGAAAUACGUCACGGCGGGAGCGCUUCCGAGAUCACCGAGCUCGAGACCGGGGCCAGUUCCGUUAAAACCGUUGGGAAUCAGCCCCGGCGCGCGGCCAUUAAAGUUUGAGAAGGAGAAGGGCAGCUCGGAGGUGUCAGUGUUGCAGUUGAACAGGGGAAACUAUGGAGCCAUGAGGGAGGAGCUGGCCAAAGUUGACUGGACGGAUAUCCCAGCAGAAAAGACCAUGGAACAGCAAUGACAGUUUUACCCAAAUCCGUUUACUUGGAAACAGCACAAUGGAACAGUUUUAGAGUUCUGAGUGAGAGAUAAACCAAGUUACCUCAACUCCUGGCACUUGCUCAGCCCGGGUCCCAGCCGCUGGAUUCCUUCACACUG
Molecule: long non-coding RNA, 1758 nt
Organism: Hypanus sabinus (Atlantic stingray)
Lineage: Eukaryota; Metazoa; Chordata; Chondrichthyes; Myliobatiformes; Dasyatidae
Exons: 3
Source: RefSeq, a predicted model, not a curated record